CGUCUAGGCGGCCAUGCAAGUCCUGCGUGAAAGCUCCCGGCUCAACUGGGAGAGGGCGUGGGAAACUGCAUGGCUAGAGACUCGGAGAGGGGUGUGGAAUUCCCGGUGGAGUGGUGAAAUGCGUUGAGAUCGGGAGGAACACCAGUGGCGAAGGCGGCACCCUGGCCGAGGUCUGACGCUGAAGCGCGACAGCGUGGGGAGCGAACG
This 207-nucleotide ribosomal RNA is filed under the name uncultured bacterium. Its description in RNAcentral is "partial 16S ribosomal RNA". It matches the Rfam family "Bacterial small subunit ribosomal RNA", at positions 568 to 774 of the family's 1533-position model. The record is from RNAcentral.